UCUGCUAGUUUUACCUCCAAUGACAUUGAAUGGUUGAACCCUAGCAGAAGGGAAUUUCAAGCAUCAGCAUGUGGUCAUUAUACAAGAUCCAGUGGUUUCUUGGGCAUAGGAGCAGACGUGACCUUUAAAACCUCAGCCUUUCCUGGCACAUAUGGAGGACCAAUUGAAAAGACACCUCAGCAAGAAACAUUUUAAGGGAAG
This is a long non-coding RNA of Asterias rubens (European starfish), 201 nucleotides long. RefSeq lists it as uncharacterized. NCBI's taxonomy places the organism in Eukaryota, Metazoa, Echinodermata, Asteroidea, Forcipulatida, Asteriidae. The record is from RefSeq and is a predicted model, not a curated record. The transcript is spliced from 3 exons.